This 476-nucleotide ribosomal RNA is filed under the name Tannerella forsythia. RNAcentral's name for it is "bacterial SSU rRNA". It matches the Rfam family "Bacterial small subunit ribosomal RNA", at positions 28 to 497 of the family's 1533-position model. Lineage: Bacteria; Pseudomonadati; Bacteroidota; Bacteroidia; Bacteroidales; Tannerellaceae. The record is from RNAcentral.
GAUGAACGUUAGCGAUAGGCUUAACACAUGCAAGUCGAGGGGCAGCGAGGGUAGCAAUACCUGUCGGCGACCGGCGCACGGGUGAGUAACGCGUAUGUAACCUGCCCGCAACAGUGGAAUAACCCGGCGAAAGUCGGACUAAUACCGCAUAAAACAGGGGUCCCGCAUGGGAAUAUUUGUUAAAGAUUUAUCGGUUGCGGAUGGGCAUGCGUACCAUUAGGUAGUUGGUGAGGUAACGGCUCACCAAGCCUUCGAUGGUUAGGGGUUCUGAGAGGAAGGUCCCCCACACUGGUACUGAGACACGGACCAGACUCCUACGGGAGGCAGCAGUGAGGAAUAUUGGUCAAUGGUCGAGAGACUGAACCAGCCAAGUCGCGUGAAGGAUGACUGCCCUAUGGGUUGUAAACUUCUUUUACAAGGGAAUAAAAUGAGAUACGGUGUAUUUUAUUGCAUGUACCUUGUGAAUAAGCAUCGGC